GUCCGACAUAAAAGGGCAGCUCUAGCCUGGCUUGGACUGAUCAGGGCUCCUCCGUUCACAGCUGACCAUGAGGUUCCCUGCCCAGCUCCUGGGGCUCCUCCUGCUCUGGGUCCCAGGAUCCGAUGGGGCCAUCGUGCUGACCCAGACUCCACUCUCCCUGUCAGUCAGCCCUGGAGAGCCGGCCUCCAUCUCCUGCAGGUCCAGUCAGAGCCUCCUACACAGUGAUGGAAAGAAUUAUUUGAAUUGGUACCUUCAGAAACCAGGCCAGUCUCCACAGCUCCUGAUAUAUUAUGCUAUCAACAGGGCCUCUGGGGUCCCAGACAGGUUCAGUGGCAGUGGGUCAGGCACAGAUUUCACCCUGAAAAUCAGCAGGGUGGAGGCUGAGGAUGCAGGCGUUUAUUACUGCCAGCAAUAUAAAGAAUCUCCUGGUUUCGGCGCGGGGACCAAGCUGGAGCUCAAACGGGCUGAUGCCAAGCCAUCCGUCUUCAUCUUCCAGCCAUCGAAGGAGCAGUUAGAGACCCAAACUGCCUCUGUGGUGUGCUUGGUCAAUAGCUUCUUCCCCAGAGAAGUCAAUGUCAAGUGGAAGGUGGAUGGGGCGGUCCAAAGCAGUGGCAUCCUGGAUAGUGUCACAGAGCAGGACAGCAAGGACAACACCUACAGCCUCAGCAGCACCCUCUCGCUGCCCACGUCACAGUACCUAAGUCAUAAUAUAUAUUCCUGUGAGGUCACCCACAAGACCCUGGCCUCCCCUCUGGUCAAAAGCUUCAACAGGAACGAGUGUGAGGCUUAGAGGCCCACAGGCCCCUGGCCUGCCCCCAGCCCCAGCCCCCUCCCCACCUCAGGCCUCAGGCCCUUUCCCCAGAAGAUCCUUGGCAAUCCCCCAGCCCCUCUUCCCUCCUCAUCCCCUCCCCCUCUUUGGCUUUAACCGUGUUAAUACUGGGGGGAGGGGAAUGAAUAAAUAAAGUGAACCUUUGCACCUGUGA
This is a non-coding RNA of Phacochoerus africanus (Common warthog), 983 nucleotides long. The record is from the annotation of a RefSeq genome assembly. NCBI's taxonomy places the organism in Eukaryota, Metazoa, Chordata, Mammalia, Artiodactyla, Suidae.